ACGGGAGGCAGCAGUGGGGGAUCUUGCGCCAAUGCGCGAAAGCGUGACGCAGCGACGCCGCGUGGGGGAUGAAGGCCCUCGGGUUGUAAACCCCUUUCGGCAGGGACGAAGCGAAAGUGACGGUACCUGCAGAAGAAGUCCCGGCUAACUACGUGCCAGCAGCCGCGGUAACACGUAGGGGACGAGCGUUGUCCGGAUUUAUUGGGCGUAAAGCGCGCGUAGGCGGCUCGGAAAGUCGGUCGUGAAAGGCUGGGGCUCAACCCCAGGACUGCGUCCGAUACUUCCGAGCUGGAGGCAGGUAGGGGAGAUCGGAAUUCCUGGUGUAGCGGUGAAAUGCGCAGAUAUCAGGAGGAACACCGGUGGCGAAGGCGGAUCUCUGGGCCUUGCCUGACGCUGAGGCGCGAAAGCUAGGGGAGCGAACAGGAUUAGAUACCCUGGUA
RNAcentral lists this ribosomal RNA (440 nucleotides) under uncultured Actinomycetes bacterium. RNAcentral's name for it is "bacterial SSU rRNA". It matches the Rfam family "Bacterial small subunit ribosomal RNA", at positions 341 to 792 of the family's 1533-position model. Lineage: Bacteria; Bacillati; Actinomycetota; Actinomycetes. The record is from RNAcentral.